GACGAACGCUGGCGGCGUGCUUAACACAUGCAAGUCGAACGGAAAGGCCCUGCUUUUGUGGGGUGCUCGAGUGGCGAACGGGUGAGUAACACGUGAGUAACCUGCCCUUGACUUUGGGAUAACUUCAGGAAACUGGGGCUAAUACCGGAUAGGAGCUCCUGCUGCAUGGUGGGGGUUGGAAAGUUUCGGCGGUUGGGGAUGGACUCGCGGCUUAUCAGCUUGUUGGUGGGGUAGUGGCUUACCAAGGGUUUGACGGGUAGCCGGCCUGAGAGGGUGACCGGCCACAUUGGUACUGAGGUACGGCCCAGACUCCUACGGGAGGCAGCAGUGGGGAAUAUUGCACAAUGGGCGGAAGCCUGAUGCAGCAACGCCGCGUGCGGGAUGACGGCCUUCGGGUUAUAAACCGCUUUCGCCUGUGACGAAGCGUGAGUGACGGUAAUGGGUAAAGAAGCACCGGCUAACUACGUG
This 468-nucleotide ribosomal RNA is filed under the name uncultured bacterium. RNAcentral describes it as "partial 16S ribosomal RNA". It matches the Rfam family "Bacterial small subunit ribosomal RNA", at positions 28 to 507 of the family's 1533-position model. The record is from RNAcentral.